UAGGCUUAAAUCACUCGUGCCGUGAGGUGUUAGGUUAAGUCCUGCAACGAGCGCAACCCCUGUCACUAGUUGCCAUCAUUAAGUUGGGGACUCUAGUGAGACUGCCUACGCAAGUAGAGAGGAAGGUGGGGAUGACGUCAAAUCAUCACGGCCCUUACGCCUUGGGCCACACACGUAAUACAAUGGCCGGUACAGAGGGCAGCUACACAGCGAUGUGAUGCAAAUCUCGAAAGCCGGUCUCAGUUCGGAUUGGAGUCUGCAACUCGACUCUAUGAAGCUGGAAUCGCUAGUAAUCGCGCAUCAGCCAUGGCGCGGUGAAUACGUUCCCGGGCCUUGUACACACCGCCCGUCAAGCCAUGGAAGUCUGGGGUACCUGAAGUCGGUGACCGUAACAGGAGCUCGUUU
This 405-nucleotide ribosomal RNA is filed under the name bacterium 14S115. Its description in RNAcentral is "bacterial SSU rRNA". It matches the Rfam family "Bacterial small subunit ribosomal RNA", at positions 1049 to 1452 of the family's 1533-position model. The record is from RNAcentral.